CAAACGACUCUCGGCAACGGAUAUCUCGGCUCUCGCAUCGAUGAAGAACGUAGCGAAAUGCGAUACUUGGUGUGAAUUGCAGAAUCCCGUGAACCAUCUAGUUUUUGAACGCAAGUUGCGCCCGAAGCCAUUAUGCCGAGGGCACUUCUGCCUGGGCGUCACAC
Molecule: ribosomal RNA, 164 nt
Filed under: Sambucus ebulus subsp. africana
Lineage: Eukaryota; Viridiplantae; Streptophyta; Magnoliopsida; Dipsacales; Adoxaceae
Description: 5.8S ribosomal RNA
Rfam family: 5.8S ribosomal RNA
About the family: 5.8S ribosomal RNA (5.8S rRNA) is a component of the large subunit of the eukaryotic ribosome. It is transcribed by RNA polymerase I as part of the 45S precursor that also contains 18S and 28S rRNA. Functionally, it is thought that 5.8S rRNA may be involved in ribosome translocation.
Source: RNAcentral